ACAGAGGUCUCGAGCGUUGUUCGGAUUUACUGGGCGUAAAGGGAGCGUAGGCGGUUCGGUGUGUUGAAUGUGAAAUCCCACAACUCAACUGUGGAAUGGCAUUCAAAACUACCGGGCUAGAGUACUGGAGAGGAGAGCGGAAUUCUUGGUGUAGCGGUGAAAUGCGUAGAUAUCAAGAGGAACACCGGUGGCGAAGGCGGCUCUCUGGACAGAUACUGACGCUGAGGCUCUAAAGUUAGGGGAGCAAACAG
This 251-nucleotide ribosomal RNA is filed under the name uncultured prokaryote. RNAcentral describes it as "partial 16S rRNA". It matches the Rfam family "Bacterial small subunit ribosomal RNA", at positions 525 to 775 of the family's 1533-position model. The record is from RNAcentral.